Saccostrea cuccullata (small rock oyster) is the source of this 1216-nucleotide long non-coding RNA. RefSeq lists it as uncharacterized. The record is from RefSeq and is a predicted model, not a curated record. The transcript is spliced from 5 exons. NCBI's taxonomy places the organism in Eukaryota, Metazoa, Mollusca, Bivalvia, Ostreida, Ostreidae.
GUUCCCGGACGGGGGACGACGCUGGAGGACGACGCUGGAGGACGACGUUGGAGGACCAAGGCCGGCCAACAGAAGAAGAGGAAUUUAUUGUCUAGUUAUGUACAGUGCAUCCUAUUAGUGAAAAGGCGGAAGACAGUUAACGCUGAUCCAGAUGCCUUAGUGAGACAGAGCUUGUCUCCCAUUCAACUGGAGCCCCCUACUGGAAGAUGCGGAUGCAGACCGAUGGGGCCCGUCAGAAGAUGAACGCAAGGAGCCGAUUCCGCAACCAGGAAGCCUAUUAGAGAAGUGCCAUUUAUGUCUCCCUUUCUUAUUUUUUGUCUGUUUCCUGUAUCCUCCCUACGCUAACAUAACUAAAACUUAUCUUCUCCUCCCCAUCCUCUUCCUCCAUUUUACUCUUUCCUGAUCUAAUUGCUUAAAUUGUCUUCAUUUUCUUAAUCGAUUUGUUCAUCUCAUCUUCGUUUAAUGUUUGUGUUUAUGUCAAUUUCUCGAAUUAUUUGUGUUUAUUGUGUUGAGUUUUUACUAAUUUUGUUCUAGCUGUAUAUUUUCAGGUUCCCGGACGGGGGACGACGCUGGAGGACGACGCUGGAGGACGACGUUGGAGGACCAAGGCCGGCCAACAGAAGAAGAGGAAUUUAUUGUCUAGUUAUGUACAGUGCAUCCUAUUAGUGAAAAGGCGGAAGACAGUUAACGCUGAUCCAGAUGCCUUAGUGAGACAGAGCUUGUCUCCCAUUCAACUGGAGCCCCCUACUGGAAGAUGCGGAUGCAGACCGAUGGGGCCCGUCAGAAGAUGAACGCAAGGAGCCGAUUCCGCAACCAGGAAGCCUAUUAGAGAAGUGCCAUUUAUGUCUCCCUUUCUUAUUUUUUGUCUGUUUCCUGUAUCCUCCCUACGCUAACAUAACUAAAACUUAUCUUCUCCUCCCCAUCCUCUUCCUCCAUUUUACUCUUUCCUGAUCUAAUUGCUUAAAUUGUCUUCAUUUUCUUAAUCGAUUUGUUCAUCUCAUCUUCGUUUAAUGUUUGUGUUUAUGUCAAUUUCUCGAAUUAUUUGUGUUUAUUGUGUUGAGUUUUUACUAAUUUUGUUCUAGCUGUAUAUUUUCAGGUUCCCGGACGGGGGACGACGCUGGAGGACGACGCUGGAGGACGACGUUGGAGGACCAAGGCCGGCCAACAGAAGAAGAGGAAUUUAUUGUCUAGUUAUGUACAGUGCAUCCUAUUAGUG